RNAcentral lists this transfer RNA (91 nucleotides) under Puccinia triticina 1-1 BBBD Race 1. Its description in RNAcentral is "Puccinia triticina tRNA PTTG_20054". It matches the Rfam family "tRNA". From Rfam's summary of the family: Transfer RNA (tRNA) molecules are approximately 80 nucleotides in length. The record is from RNAcentral. Lineage: Eukaryota; Fungi; Basidiomycota; Pucciniomycetes; Pucciniales; Pucciniaceae.
GGCCUUAUGGUCUAGUCGUAUGAUUCUCCCUUUGGGUGGCGUUUGCGAGCUCGCAUGGGAGAGGUCUCGGGUUCAAUUCCCGAUGAGGCCC